CUGACUCCAAUGCUGUUGCUGGUGGGAGACUGGUAGAUGCUUGCUCCGUCGUUCUUGUUUUUAACUGUGUCAGGGAAAGUCCUCAAAGACAACAGUUCCUACUGAGAAGUCAUAACUCACUGGACUACUAAGCUAUAAGGGUUACAAAGUGUCCACUGAAAGAUUACCUAAUUCAACAGCCAACAUUAUGGAAAUGUCGUGCAAAAUGAGGAACUUUUUUCAAGACGGGCGGAAGAAGAGCGACUUUAGGAGAACCCGGACUGGAUGGAGAGUCUGGGACAUCCUCUGUGGAGACAAAAGACACCCAUCAAACUGGAUUCCUAAAGCAUAAGCUGGGUCAGUCUUUAAAUACAAAUGACUAAUAAUCUGUUAAAAAGCAUCACAGUUUUUCUGGCCAAAAAUUAGUUUCAUAGCCCAGUGAAGUAACAAACAAUAGAAAGAAAAAACU
Cervus elaphus (red deer) is the source of this 448-nucleotide long non-coding RNA. RefSeq lists it as uncharacterized. NCBI's taxonomy places the organism in Eukaryota, Metazoa, Chordata, Mammalia, Artiodactyla, Cervidae. The record is from RefSeq and is a predicted model, not a curated record. The transcript has 4 exons.